RNAcentral lists this ribosomal RNA (253 nucleotides) under uncultured bacterium. RNAcentral describes it as "partial 16S ribosomal RNA". It matches the Rfam family "Bacterial small subunit ribosomal RNA", at positions 524 to 776 of the family's 1533-position model. The record is from RNAcentral.
UACGAAGGGUGCAAACGUUGCUCGGAAUUACUGGGCGUAAAGCGCACGUAGGCGGCUUUGUAAGUUAGAGGUGAAAGCCCGGAGCUCAACUCCGGAAUUGCCUUUAAGACUGCAUCGCUAGAAUUGUGGAGAGGUGAGUGGAAUUCCGAGUGUAGAGGUGAAAUUCGUAGAUAUUCGGAAGAACACCAGUGGCGAAGGCGACUCACUGGACACAUAUUGACGCUGAGGUGCGAAAGCGUGGGGAGCAAACAGG